UAGGGAAUUUUUCACAAUGAGCGAAAGCUUGAUGGAGCAAUGCCGCGUGAACGAUGAAGGUCUUUAAGAUUGUAAAGUUCUUUUAUUUGGGAAGAAUGACUUUAGCAGGUAAUGGCUAGAGUUUGACUGUACCAUUUUGAAUAAGUGACGACUAACUAUGUGCCAGCAGUCGCGGUAAUACAUAGGUCGCAAGCGUUAUCCGGAUUUAUUGGGCGUAAAGCAAGCGCAGGCGGAUUGAAAAGUCUGGUGUUAAAGGCAGCUGCUUAACAGUUGUAUGCAUUGGAAACUAUUAAUCUAGAGUGUGGUAGGGAGUUUUGGAAUUUCAUGUGGAGCGGUGAAAUGCGUAGAUAUAUGAAGGAACACCAGUGGCGAAGGCGAAAACUUAGGCCAUUACUGACGCUUAGGCUUGAAAGUGUGGGGAGCAAAUAGGAUUAGAUACCCUAGUAGUCCACACCGUAAACGAUAGAUACUAGCUGUCGGGGCGAUCCCCUUGGUAGUGAAGUUAACACAUUAAGUAUCUCGCCUGGGUAGUACAUUCGCAAGAAUG
This 547-nucleotide ribosomal RNA is filed under the name uncultured bacterium. Its description in RNAcentral is "bacterial SSU rRNA". It matches the Rfam family "Bacterial small subunit ribosomal RNA", at positions 355 to 896 of the family's 1533-position model. The record is from RNAcentral.